UUAGUUCACAGGGAAGGAACCAGGUUCUGCCACUCAGUCCAGGCAAAAGGUGGCAAGUUCUGAGAGCAUAUGGAUAUAUCAUUCGCAGAAUUCUUAGAACUGUUUGGAGCAAUAGUUGAGAACAAGAGACAGUCUGCAAAACAGGCUAAACCAAUGAGUGUCCUGGGGGGACAGAAGGAGCUAUGUUUUCAGAUCCUUAUCUAAACCUGGAAUUGGCAGCUUUAUUUUUAAAUUUCCAAUCUUAUCUUUUCAACUACAUCUUUAUUUAAAAUAUAACCUGUCAUUUACUCAGGCUCAAAUUUAACCAUUUUUGCUUACUCUCAUUUGAAGCUGAUGAUGACUUUUGAAGGAUAAAAGGAUCCUCUUAUAGAGAAUAAUGCUGGGGGGCAGGUAGAGAUUUUUAAAAAGAUAUUAUCUGGACACAUUGUCUCCCAAUAAGUUGAGCUCAUUAGAUAAAUGAGAUUCCACUAAAGCA
Molecule: long non-coding RNA, 475 nt
Filed under: Bos taurus (domestic cattle)
Lineage: Eukaryota; Metazoa; Chordata; Mammalia; Artiodactyla; Bovidae
Description: long non-coding RNA NONBTAT013841
Source: RNAcentral